Molecule: ribosomal RNA, 460 nt
Filed under: uncultured bacterium
Lineage: Bacteria
Description: partial 16S ribosomal RNA
Rfam family: Bacterial small subunit ribosomal RNA
Source: RNAcentral
CCUACGGGAGGCAGUAGUGAGGAAUAUUGGUCAAUGGGCGUAAGCCUGAACCAGCCAAGUCGCGUGAGGGAUGACGGUCCUAUGGAUUGUAAACCUCUUUUAUCAGGGAAUAAAGUGAGGGACGUGUCCCGUUUUGUAUGUACCUUAUGAAUAAGGAUCGGCUAACUCCGUGCCAGCAGCCGCGGUAAUACGGAGGAUCCGAGCGUUAUCCGGAUUUAUUGGGUUUAAAGGGUGCGUAGGCGGCUUUUGAAGUCAGCGGUGAAAGUCUGUGGCUCAACCCUAGAAUUGCCGUUGAAACUGGGAGGCUUGAGUAUGUUUGAGGUAGGCGGAAUGCGUGGUGUAGCGGUGAAAUGCUUAGAUAUCACGCAGAACCCCGAUUGCGAAGGCAGCCUACCAAGCCAUGACUGACGCUGAUGCACGAAAGCGUGGGGAUCAAACAGGAUUAGAUACCCGAGUAGUC